GUAGCUAUGGCUCAGUGGUAGAGGGCAUGCUCAGCAUGCAUGAGGUCCUGGGUUCAAUCCCCAGUACUUCCA
Molecule: transfer RNA, 72 nt
Organism: Camelus ferus (Wild Bactrian camel)
Lineage: Eukaryota; Metazoa; Chordata; Mammalia; Artiodactyla; Camelidae
Rfam family: tRNA
About the family: Transfer RNA (tRNA) molecules are approximately 80 nucleotides in length. Their secondary structure includes four short double-helical elements and three loops (D, anti-codon, and T loops). Further hydrogen bonds mediate the characteristic L-shaped molecular structure. tRNAs have two regions of fundamental functional importance: the anti-codon, which is responsible for specific mRNA codon recognition, and the 3' end, to which the tRNAs corresponding amino acid is attached (by aminoacyl-tRNA synthetases). tRNAs cope with the degeneracy of the genetic code in two manners: having more than one tRNA (with a specific anti-codon) for a particular amino acid; and 'wobble' base-pairing, i.e. permitting non-standard base-pairing at the 3rd anti-codon position.
Source: Rfam